UCCCUGGCAGUCCAGUGGUUAGGACUCUGCUCUUCCAAUGCAGGGGGUGAGGGUUCAGUCCCCACUCAGGGAA
This is a non-coding RNA of Bos taurus (domestic cattle), 73 nucleotides long. The record is from Rfam. NCBI's taxonomy places the organism in Eukaryota, Metazoa, Chordata, Mammalia, Artiodactyla, Bovidae.